UACAGGGGGUGCAAACGUUGCUCGGAACCAUUGGGCGUAAAGCGCACGUAGGCGGUUCGUUAUGUCGGAUGUGAAAGCCCUUGGCUUAACCGAGGAAGUGCAUCCGAAACUGGCGAGCUAGAGUACUAAAGAGGAUCGCGGAAUUCCCGGUGUAGAGGUGAAAUUCGUAGAUAUCGGGAGGAACACCGGUGGCGAAGGCGGCGAUCUGGGUAGAUACUGACGCUGAGGUGCGAAAGCGUGGGGAGCAAACAGG
Molecule: ribosomal RNA, 253 nt
Filed under: uncultured bacterium
Lineage: Bacteria
Description: partial 16S ribosomal RNA
Rfam family: Bacterial small subunit ribosomal RNA
Source: RNAcentral